This 19-nucleotide small nuclear RNA is filed under the name Arabidopsis thaliana (thale cress). RNAcentral's name for it is "snRNA_12422". The record is from RNAcentral. Lineage: Eukaryota; Viridiplantae; Streptophyta; Magnoliopsida; Brassicales; Brassicaceae.
UGGAAUAUGUCCAAUGUCU